Molecule: ribosomal RNA, 466 nt
Filed under: uncultured bacterium
Lineage: Bacteria
Description: bacterial SSU rRNA
Rfam family: Bacterial small subunit ribosomal RNA
Source: RNAcentral
UAAGGAAUAUUGGUCAAUGGAGGCAACUCUGAACCAGCCAUGCCGCGUGCAGGAAGAAGGCCCUAUGGGUCGUAAACUGCUUUUGAACAAGAGAAAACCCCGGUACGUGUACUGGGUUGAUAGUAUUGUUAGAAUAAGCAUCGGCUAACUUCGUGCCAGCAGCCGCGGUAAGACGAAGGAUGCAAGCGUUAUCCGGAUUCAUUGGGUUUAAAGGUGCGUAGGCGGACUGAUAAGUCAGUGGUGAAAUCUCUCGGCUUAACCGAGAAACUGCCAUUGAUACUGUUAGUCUAGAGUACAGAUGAUGUGGGCGGAAUAUGACAUGUAGUGGUGAAAUACUUAGAUAUGUCAUAGAACACCGAUUGCGAAGGCAGCUCACAAAACUGUAACUGACGCUGAGGCACGAAAGUGCGGGGAUCAAACAGGAUUAGAUACCCAGGUAGUCCCUGAGCGGGCUGGCAAGGCGCAU